CCUCAUAAAAUUUGCUAAAAGCCUCGUAAAAUAAUAAAGCUUUUAUUGAUUAAAUAUAUCCACUAAACAGUCAAAAACUCUACAGUUUUCCUCAAUAUAUAACUUCACAACUCACAGUCAAAAUUAUAACUCUAAGUACUCUAUCACAGGAACCCUAUCUCUGGAAACUUUUCCUCUCGCUAGAUUGGAUUGUUUUGUAUUCUUGUCAUUUAGCUAGGAAUAGGAUAUAUGUAUACUGAAAAUAAUGAUAAGUGCAAACCUUCAAUACAUGAAACUGAUAAUUUUAUAUUUGUUUUCCUAUUAUAGAUGACUCGACAGCGGACUCCUCAAGAAACAAGUUGAAGCUGGUGGAAACUUUGAUUCAACACAAACGAGUUUGGUUUAUGGUGUUAUUUCUGGUUUUGGUUUUUGGUGUUAUUUUAUUAGGAUUUUAGUUUUUUUUUCUUUAUGAUACUUACACUAGAAUUUUUUUUUAAUUGAUGUUCAAGUUUAAACUGAAUUUAUGAAUCUUUCAUGCUAUGGAAUUAUUAUUUUCAAUAAUUUGUUCUUUCUCAGAUUUUUUUGAUAAAUUGUAUCAAAAGCACAUUGUAAUAUGUCUAAUAAUGGAAGAAUGUUUAUAAAAGUAAUCACUACAAGUUUUACAUCUAAAUUACUAUUUAAUUAAGAGGUAUUUGUGAUGGUUGUUUAAUGAAGAAUAGUGAAAAUACGAGACAAAAUAUAAGUAUCUAACUAAGACUGAUUUGUGAGAAAAUUUAUGAAAAUCAAUCAAAUAGAAAAAUCUCUUCUUUUUUUAACGUCUGAUUAAUUGUGCUAUUACAACGAUGAAAAAUAUUACAUAGACGAUUCUACAGCCGAAAAUUCUACCAUCAUAUGAGAAUGUACGUCUGAUUGCAUCACUCUUAGCCGCCCUAUGAGAUCCGUGUUCCAUG
Molecule: long non-coding RNA, 929 nt
Filed under: Brassica rapa (field mustard)
Lineage: Eukaryota; Viridiplantae; Streptophyta; Magnoliopsida; Brassicales; Brassicaceae
Description: long non-coding RNA (BRAP_LNC007562)
Source: RNAcentral